CCCCGGCUAACUACGUGCCAGCAGCCGCGGUAAUACGUAGGGGGCAAGCGUUUAUCCGGAAUCACUGGGCGUAAAGGGUGCGUAGGCGGCUUAGCAAGCCAGGGGUGAAAGGCAUUGGCUCAACCAAUGUAAGCCUUUGGAACUGUUAAGCUUGAGUGCAGGAGAGGUAAGUGGAAUUCCUAGUGUAGAGGUGAAAUUCGUAGAUAUUAGGAGGAACACCAGUGGCGAAGGCGACUUACUGGACUGUAACUGACGCUGAUGCACCGAAAGCGUGGGUAGCGAACAGGAUUAGAUACCCUGGUGG
RNAcentral lists this ribosomal RNA (304 nucleotides) under uncultured bacterium. RNAcentral describes it as "bacterial SSU rRNA". It matches the Rfam family "Bacterial small subunit ribosomal RNA", at positions 491 to 793 of the family's 1533-position model. The record is from RNAcentral.